This 786-nucleotide ribosomal RNA is filed under the name Lacticaseibacillus rhamnosus. RNAcentral describes it as "bacterial SSU rRNA". It matches the Rfam family "Bacterial small subunit ribosomal RNA", at positions 261 to 1038 of the family's 1533-position model. Lineage: Bacteria; Bacillati; Bacillota; Bacilli; Lactobacillales; Lactobacillaceae. The record is from RNAcentral.
CGGCUCACCAAGGCAAUGAUACGUAGCCGAACUGAGAGGUUGAUCGGCCACAUUGGGACUGAGACACGGCCCAAACUCCUACGGGAGGCAGCAGUAGGGAAUCUUCCACAAUGGACGCAAGUCUGAUGGAGCAACGCCGCGUGAGUGAAGAAGGCUUUCGGGUCGUAAAACUCUGUUGUUGGAGAAGAAUGGUCGGCAGAGUAACUGUUGUCGGCGUGACGGUAUCCAACCAGAAAGCCACGGCUAACUACGUGCCAGCAGCCGCGGUAAUACGUAGGUGGCAAGCGUUAUCCGGAUUUAUUGGGCGUAAAGCGAGCGCAGGCGGUUUUUUAAGUCUGAUGUGAAAGCCCUCGGCUUAACCGAGGAAGUGCAUCGGAAACUGGGAAACUUGAGUGCAGAAGAGGACAGUGGAACUCCAUGUGUAGCGGUGAAAUGCGUAGAUAUAUGGAAGAACACCAGUGGCGAAGGCGGCUGUCUGGUCUGUAACUGACGCUGAGGCUCGAAAGCAUGGGUAGCGAACAGGAUUAGAUACCCUGGUAGUCCAUGCCGUAAACGAUGAAUGCUAGGUGUUGGAGGGUUUCCGCCCUUCAGUGCCGCAGCUAACGCAUUAAGCAUUCCGCCUGGGGAGUACGACCGCAAGGUUGAAACUCAAAGGAAUUGACGGGGGCCCGCACAAGCGGUGGAGCAUGUGGUUUAAUUCGAAGCAACGCGAAGAACCUUACCAGGUCUUGACAUCUUUUGAUCACCUGAGAGAUCAGGUUUCCCCUUCGGGGGCAAAAUGACAGG